GACAGAGGUUGCAAACGUUGUUCGGAAUUACUGGGCCUAAAGCGCACGUAGGCGGUCCGUUAAGUCAUGUGUGAAAUCCCCCGGCUCAACCGGGGAAUUGCGCCUGAUACUGGCGGGCUAGAGGUCGAUAGGGGUGAGCGGAACUCCAGGUGGAGCGGUGAAAUGCGUAGAUAUCUGGAGGAACACCGGUGGCGAAAGCGGCUCACUGGAUCGAAACUGACGCUGAGGUGCGAAAGCUAGGGUAGCAAACGGG
Molecule: ribosomal RNA, 253 nt
Filed under: uncultured bacterium
Lineage: Bacteria
Description: partial 16S ribosomal RNA
Rfam family: Bacterial small subunit ribosomal RNA
Source: RNAcentral